This 281-nucleotide ribosomal RNA is filed under the name uncultured bacterium. Its description in RNAcentral is "partial 16S ribosomal RNA". It matches the Rfam family "Bacterial small subunit ribosomal RNA", at positions 81 to 354 of the family's 1533-position model. The record is from RNAcentral.
CUCCUUUGAAGUUAGCGGCGGACGGGGUGAGUAACACGUGGGUAACCUACCUAUAAGACUGGGAUAACUUCGGGAAACCGGAGCUAAUACCGGAUAACAUUUAGAACCGCAUGGUUCUAAAGUGAAAGAUGGUUUUGCUAUCACUUAUAGAUGGACCCGCGCCGUAUUAGCUAGUUGGUAAGGUAACGGGCUUACCAAGGCGACGAUACGUAGCCGACCUGAGAGGGUGAUCGGCCACACUGGAACUGAGACACGGUCCAGACUCCUACGGAAGGCAGCAG